AACGUAGGUGGCGAGCGUUAUCCGGAUUUACUGGGCGUAAAGGGUGCGUAGGCGGGCUGCCAAGUUUGGGGUGAAAUCCUCCGGCUCAACCGGGGAAGUGCCUCGAAUACUGGCGGUCUGGAGGGAGGUAGGGGCGUGCGGAACUAACGGUGGAGCGGUGAAAUGCGUUGAUAUCGUUAGGAACUCCGGUGGCGAAGGCGGCACGCUAGACCUCUUCUGACGCUGAGGCACGAAAGCCAGGGGAGCGAACGGG
Molecule: ribosomal RNA, 253 nt
Filed under: uncultured bacterium
Lineage: Bacteria
Description: partial 16S ribosomal RNA
Rfam family: Bacterial small subunit ribosomal RNA
Source: RNAcentral